Molecule: long non-coding RNA, 1483 nt
Organism: Erpetoichthys calabaricus (reedfish)
Lineage: Eukaryota; Metazoa; Chordata; Cladistia; Polypteriformes; Polypteridae
Exons: 3
Source: RefSeq, a predicted model, not a curated record
UUGCUUUUUGUUUCCAGUUCCGUUUCUGUAUUGGCAAGCUACGCUGCCUCCGGCAGACCUAAGUACUCUGUAGCCUCCUUUGAUGACAGAAAGGAUGAAGAUGAUCAUGUUAUGAUGAGAUCGGCAGGUAUUACUGUAGAAUUCUCAGGUUUGUGAAAGUCACCUGGGUGAAGCACAGAAGUUGGGAGCAUGUGCUGAUAGCACGUUGCCGCACCUUCCACACAUCGAACCACCUGAAUUGGGACCCGUGUGCACUGGGUGACCUCUCAGCACUACAGUGGAACAGUGUGAGUUUUUUUACAGUGGCUGGAGUGGCAAACCUGCCAACAACCCCAAGCACAGUGACUGACCAUAUUUAAAAUUGAUAGAUAUUUAGAUAACUUAAUUAUUAGCUAACCAAACAAGAUUCAUGGGACUGACUGAUAUAUUUUCAAUGAUAACUUUUUAUUUGGUCCCCGGUUGGUGGUAGUGAGGAAGACUUACAUUCUCUCUUUACUUUCAUUUUAGCAUAACAUGAGUACAAGAGUAAAAUUAUGUACUGACGCACAAUAGCAAUAAUAAUCUUAUUUUGUUUUACAAAGAGAAGGAAAAGGAGUCUCAUUUUUAAAACCUUGCCUGCAUUGGUUGGUUAUGAUAAAAAAAAAAAUUGACUUGUAGAACUUGGCAUAUGCACAUUUGUACGCAAUUUAGGAGAAAUUAUAAAUAGUUAAAAAGAGUACACAUACCUGAAGUAAAAUGGGAUGGUAUGCAGGGCACUCCAUUGAAAAUGGCUCAGAAGUGGUACAAGGGCACACUUUAGCUGAGGUUUAUACAGACCUGUGAGAUUUGGAGCCCCACAAGUAUCCAAAUGUCUCUGGGCGUAAAGCGGACUGACAUACUAGUGGCAGUCUGCCACUAUGUGAGAAAAGAUCAUUGCAGUAAAAUGAGUGCUAGCUGAAAGAAAGGGACAGAGAAAGUUUAGAAAGCCACCAGAGAAAGAAAGAGAAAUGCCUAUACAUGCCGGUAUGCACGUGCACAUGAGACUUGAUGUACUGAUAUUGUAAUAUUGUUACUAGUGAGAAGCAUGUCGCUUAGAGGGUGAAAGGAUUCCUCAAGUAAACCCUGUAGAGAUAUAAAAUGCCAAAUCAGAUGCUAGAUUUCACCUUUUGGUCUUUUGUCCUCUGAUUAACUUUUAAUGGAGAAGAGAGUGUGUUGCUGAAUAGACCCUCAAGUUACUGUGAAUAGUGGAGGGGUAUUAUAGCCUUUUGAUUAUUUGUCUUUUUUUGUUCCUUGUGGAAUCUCUUCCGGAACCACUAAUUUAUCCUUGUAAGAAGGAAACAUUUAUUUAUUUAUUUUUACUGAUUUUUUUUAGGGUGUAGAUGUACAUAUGUAAGACAGAUAUUUUUUCAUUUGUGGUGUGUCAUUACUUGUUUGACUCUUAUUGAAAAAGUUGUAUUACACUGAAAUACAACUUUUGUUUUUGGCACUUACUGCAAUAAAAGAU